This is a long non-coding RNA of Triticum aestivum (bread wheat), 2232 nucleotides long. RefSeq lists it as uncharacterized. NCBI's taxonomy places the organism in Eukaryota, Viridiplantae, Streptophyta, Magnoliopsida, Poales, Poaceae. The record is from RefSeq and is a predicted model, not a curated record. The transcript has 14 exons.
GUCUAUUAGCAAGGAGCGUCAAGAGUUCCCGAGCCUUGUCAACAAGGAGAUAAAACUACACAACUGCAUGCUUGAAAGAGAAGACACAGAGGGGGCAGAAGAAACUAAGAAGGCAUAUAUGGCUGCUAGAGGAGUCAGACGACACCACCGAGGUUGCUUCAGAGGAAAAAGUCUCGUCAGCGCUGAUUGACAAGCCUUUUAGGUUGAUGCUAUGCUUCUGGAAUUAGAAAAGGAGAUUGAUGAUGUGGAUGCACAAAUUGGAAACGGCUGGCAACUGCUUUGAUAGGAGAACAUACCCCUGGAGGAGCCAUUCGAGAACCUGAGAUGCAGCCACCGAACAGAUGCACCAGCACCUCUAAUCUUGGGCCCAAGCAAGCUCAAAGAGAUGGUGGAGAGCAACCAAACUAGCUAGGGUGGCCUGAUGAGGUCCUGUAUGAGGCUUUGCUUGUGAUUCAUAUCAUAUUAGGUCUUGUAUGAUGAUGCGUGUGUGGUUGAUGCUCACGUACUAGCUAAGGCAUUCAUUGCUUGCUUAGUGUUCCCGUUGUUGGUGGAAUUAACUGGAUGCACAAAAUAUUUCAACAACAUAUGCCAAAAGGUGCUGCUGCUGCUACCUUGCUGUUAUGCAAUUGUCAGCGUACUCCGAUGAGAAGAUGCCUCCUGAAGGAUUGCUUGAGUUGUGGUUACACUUGUUGAAUUUAUGUCCUCUUGUUGAACACAGUCUACUACACUGACGAAGUGACGAUGGUGAAUCAGUUGCUGAAGCUGAGGAAGAUGGAUCAUUUCGAGAUAUGCAUCUACACGCCGCCAAGGAGCUGGAGCUGUAGCUGAAUAUGCAUCUGCACGCCAAGCAGCCGGUGAAAGUGAAACGACGGCUCCUCAGCCCGAGGCGUCUCUCUUUCUCAAUGGGCGACCAUUAUUGCUCCCUCGGCCUCUUCUUCCUCACGCACUUGUUCAGCGACGAUGAACAAGAGCAGGAUGAACGAGCGGCUCAACCGACCCGGCGCAACAAGAGAGACCACAGCGAGCCCGCAAGCCAGUCGCUGAUGGGUGGGGCCUCGCCCCCAGUGCGCCUCCUCCCGCCGCAGGACGGGAGGAUGAAGCACUCUGACACGUGGGCCAGAACUACCGCCGGUAUAAAACCCGGCAUCGCCCCUUCCUCUCGCCUUGCCCCUGCUCACAACCCCGACCCCGAGGAUCCGCGUUUCGAUUGCCCCCAUUGUCGAUCGACGUCGACCUCGAGCACGAGCACAGGGAGAUGGCCGCAGUCGAGCGUGGUCCUCGAGCAGGGCGUGGCGGCCCUGGCCGCGCCCAGGGGCAUUAGAGGGGCCCUGCUGCUGCCGUCGUGGUGGCAGCUCCUGUCCCAGUACCAGCACAGCCGCAGCCGCAGGUGAACGAACAAGCAGCUCCUCCAAACUUACGGUGGACACUGCUGUGGAGAGACAAUGAUGAGCAUUUCAAUCAUCAACUUGAUCAAGGGGACAAGAUUUACAAUUUCCUCGAGAAGUCACCAUUGGUUGACAGAAUGGAGUUAGUCACGUUUGGUGUCUCUGAAGCUCUAGUUGCUGCUGAACCUGCGAGAGUCCUACCUAUGCUGAACGGUGUAGUUGACAUGAUGAACAUGAUGAUGCCCAUAAGGCAAAGGUACUUCUAUAAGUAUAUGCACGGGGAAUGAGGCAGCGAUGAAAUGCACAAGAUGGAGAAGACGCUGAGGAAGACAGUUGAACGUGUGGAUGAGAAGGUCCAGUUGAUCAAGGAUGCGAAUGGGUUUUGUCCUCCCAGGCCUAAGCUGUUCGACAGCCUUCCUAUGCCUCAACAGAAAAAGUGAACGCAAGAACGAAACAGGGCGCCAGUCUCUUGCUGUUCUACAUCAAGCAUACGGUUCCUUAUUGUAAAUCUGCUGGGCUACAACAAGCAUACGGUUCCUUACUGUAAAUCUGCUGUGCUACGUUACCGAUACUUGUCUCUUGCUGUAUAUGCGCUGUGCUACGUCAAAUAUCCCGCCCGCCUCUUGCUGUAAAUCAGCUUUGCUAACCUCAAGGAUGGAUGUUUGACACUGAUUUUGUUGGUGUUGAAAGGUUUACACCGUACAAAUGUUGUAGUACGUACAAUACUAUUUUUAAUUGUUUGGCAGGCUACAUAGUGAUUUGGGUUGUGAAGAUCAACACUCGCUCAGAAUAUAUUGUUUUGUACUAGGAAACAAUUUUGUGCCCAUUUAAAUGUUGUGUUCUUCAA